RNAcentral lists this ribosomal RNA (892 nucleotides) under Microbacterium sp. Its description in RNAcentral is "bacterial SSU rRNA". It matches the Rfam family "Bacterial small subunit ribosomal RNA", at positions 89 to 992 of the family's 1533-position model. Lineage: Bacteria; Bacillati; Actinomycetota; Actinomycetes; Micrococcales; Microbacteriaceae. The record is from RNAcentral.
GGAUCAGUGGCGAACGGGUGAGUAACACGUGAGCAACCUGCCCCGGACUCUGGGAUAAGCGCUGGAAACGGCGUCUAAUACUGGAUACGAGACGCAACCGCAUGGUUAGUGUUUGGAAAGAUCUUUCGGUCUGGGAUGGGCUCGCGGCCUAUCAGCUUGUUGGUGAGGUAAUGGCUCACCAAGGCGUCGACGGGUAGCCGGCCUGAGAGGGUGACCGGCCACACUGGGACUGAGACACGGCCCAGACUCCUACGGGAGGCAGCAGUGGGGAAUAUUGCACAAUGGGCGGAAGCCUGAUGCAGCAACGCCGCGUGAGGGAUGACGGCCUUCGGGUUGUAAACCUCUUUUAGCAGGGAAGAAGCGAAAGUGACGGUACCUGCAGAAAAAGCGCCGGCUAACUACGUGCCAGCAGCCGCGGUAAUACGUAGGGCGCAAGCGUUAUCCGGAAUUAUUGGGCGUAAAGAGCUCGUAGGCGGUCUGUCGCGUCUGCUGUGAAAACCCGAGGCUCAACCUCGGGCCUGCAGUGGGUACGGGCAGACUAGAGUGCGGUAGGGGAGAUUGGAAUUCCUGGUGUAGCGGUGGAAUGCGCAGAUAUCAGGAGGAACACCGAUGGCGAAGGCAGAUCUCUGGGCCGUAACUGACGCUGAGGAGCGAAAGGGUGGGGAGCAAACAGGCUUAGAUACCCUGGUAGUCCACCCCGUAAACGUUGGGAACUAGUUGUGGGGUCCUUUCCACGGAUUCCGUGACGCAGCUAACGCAUUAAGUUCCCCGCCUGGGGAGUACGGCCGCAAGGCUAAAACUCAAAGGAAUUGACGGGGACCCGCACAAGCGGCGGAGCAUGCGGAUUAAUUCGAUGCAACGCGAAGAACCUUACCAAGGCUUGACAUACACG